This 330-nucleotide ribosomal RNA is filed under the name uncultured eukaryote. RNAcentral describes it as "partial 18S ribosomal RNA". It matches the Rfam family "Eukaryotic small subunit ribosomal RNA", at positions 1470 to 1796 of the family's 1831-position model. The record is from RNAcentral.
CCCUUAGAUGUUCUGGGCCGCACGCGCGCUACACUGAUGCAUUCAACGAGUCUAAAACCUGGUCUGAUAGGGCUGGGUAAUCUUUUGAAUGUGCAUCGUGAUUGGGAUAGAUGAUUGCAAUUCUUCAUCUUCAACGAGGACUGCCUAGUAAACGCAAGUCAUCAGCUUGCAUUGAUUACGUCCCUGCCCUUUGUACACACCGCCCGUCGCUCCUACCGAUUGAAUGUUCCGAUGAAUACCAUGGACUGAGAGUAUGAAUGGGUUCGCCUAUUUCUGCUUCUCGGGAAGUGGAGUAAAUCUUAACAUUUAGAGGAAGGAGAAGUCGUAACA